This 410-nucleotide long non-coding RNA is filed under the name Lactuca sativa (garden lettuce). Its description in RNAcentral is "long non-coding RNA (LSAT_LNC002714)". The record is from RNAcentral. Lineage: Eukaryota; Viridiplantae; Streptophyta; Magnoliopsida; Asterales; Asteraceae.
CUAGAUAGAGAGCACGUACAUUACAGCUAGAACAUUACAGUACAUUACUAUACUUGCUAGGUAGAGAGCACGUACAUUACAGCUAGAACAUUACAGUACAUUACUAUACUUGCUAGGUAGAGAGCACGUACAUUACAGCUAGAACAGUUCAUUACAUUACAUAUACAUGAAUACGUUAAUUAUUGUGAUAUGAAUCGGAGCAUGACUUAAAUGUCAUGGCCCGUGUUGUAGCCAGAGUCUCUUGAAGGGAGAGCGUGAGUUUGCGUAUAGAUCUAUACUGGAUUGACUAUCCUACACCUUGCUGCUAGCUACAGCCGGACCUGCAGGUCUGCGGGUGCCAAACGUCAUUUCUUUUUACGACCAUACUUAUGUCGUUGUUACCAGUCAAUAGUAUGGUGCAAUUAAUCACA